This 253-nucleotide ribosomal RNA is filed under the name uncultured bacterium. RNAcentral's name for it is "partial 16S ribosomal RNA". It matches the Rfam family "Bacterial small subunit ribosomal RNA", at positions 524 to 776 of the family's 1533-position model. The record is from RNAcentral.
UACGUAGGGUCCGAGCGUUGUCCGGAAUCACUGGGCGUAAAGGGCGCGUAGGCGGCCUGAUAAGUAGGGGGUGAAAUCUCGCGGCUCAACUGCGAGGCUGCCUCCUAAACUGUCGGGCUCGAGCACAGUAGAGGCAGGUGGAAUUCCCGGUGUAGCGGUGGAAUGCGUAGAGAUCGGGAAGAACAUCGGUGGCGAAGGCGGCCUGCUGGGCUGUUGCUGACGCUGAGGCGCGACAGCGUGGGGAGCAAACAGG